ACGGAAGGCAGCAGUGGGGAAUAUUGCACAAUGGGGGAAACCCUGAUGCAGCAACGCCGCGUGAGUGAUGAAGUAUUUCGGUAUGUAAAGCUCUAUCAGCAGGGAAGAUAAUGACGGUACCUAACUAAGAAGCUCCGGCUAAAUACGUGCCAGCAGCCGCGGUAAUACGUAUGGAGCGAGCGUUAUCCGGAUUUACUGGGUGUAAAGGAUGCGUAGGCGGCAUGGCAAGUCAGAUGUGAAAGACCGGGGCUCAACUCCGGGGCUGCAUUUGAAACUGCCAGGCUGGAGUACAGGAGAGGCAGGCGGAAUUCCUGGUGUAGCGGUGAAAUGCGUAGAUAUUAGGAGGAACACCAGUGGCGAAGGCGGCCUGCUGGACUGUUACUGACGCUGAGGCACGAAAGCGUGGGGAGCAAACAGGAUUAGAUACCCUGGUA
This 434-nucleotide ribosomal RNA is filed under the name uncultured Lachnospiraceae bacterium. Its description in RNAcentral is "bacterial SSU rRNA". It matches the Rfam family "Bacterial small subunit ribosomal RNA", at positions 341 to 792 of the family's 1533-position model. Lineage: Bacteria; Bacillati; Bacillota; Clostridia; Lachnospirales; Lachnospiraceae. The record is from RNAcentral.